Long non-coding RNA from Cydia pomonella (codling moth), 3856 nucleotides. RefSeq lists it as uncharacterized. The transcript has 2 exons. NCBI's taxonomy places the organism in Eukaryota, Metazoa, Arthropoda, Insecta, Lepidoptera, Tortricidae. The record is from RefSeq and is a predicted model, not a curated record.
UACAUCCACACCGCACCGAGUUUCUUACGCCGGUUCUUCUCCGGGCUGAGGUUAACGUUUCUUUCCGAACCGGAAGUAGCAUAUCAAAAUGAAGGACUUAACCUAGCAGAUAAAAAAAAAAUAGACAUAUUAUACAACAGUAGCGGACACAAAAUAAAAUAGAAAUAUUUAUUAAGGAGAGACUAUAUGCGUGGGUCCAACGGUACAUAAAUACUAAAUAAUUGUUCAAUUUAAACCACCCUGUGUCCCAAUCUGAGUGCAUACGCUACAGUUGCUAUCCUUAUCUGUUAUACUUUUCCAUACUUUGCUAAACUUAUCCAGCGUUAUCCGAUAUAUCGAUAUUUUUAUCGAAAUCAGUCUAUAUAAGCAAGUGUAAAGUAUUAAAUCUUUAAUUAAAUUUACUCGGUUAGGCUAGUUCACAUCUGUCCACUGGCCGAAGUAUAUUAAAUAAAGGAAAAUGGCUAUGUCUAUACACAACAAUAUUGUUUACGGGCUGGAGGAACGCCAAAUUCCAGUCCGCUUGUCGUACCCACAGUUUUUAUUUGACCAGCUGAAGAAGGGUGGAGAUAAAGUAGCCUUAGACGCGUUGACCUUGGGCGUCAAUGGUGAGGAUGUACAACACGCCUCUUCAGCAUCACACCAGCAACAUCAGUCACUUUACACAGAUCUACAGCCAGACUCCCGUGACCCUCCAGUUUACACUGAGCAUUGCAGUCCUGAGAAAAUCAAGAUUGAUACCCACGCAAAAUCUUCUAGCACACUGCAUUUUCUUUAUUAUAUAAUCGUUAUAUUAACAUUAUCAACCACCAAUGUACACUGCCGCGAGAUUGGAGAUAGACCACAGUCUGCACUUGGUGUAACAUAUUCUCAGCCUAUACAGCUAUUAAGAUCCGUUGCAAUAACCAAUAGCCCUAAUAUGAAAAAUGUUAAUUUUCUAUACCAUAAUGGACCUGGUGGAACAAGAUCAGUUACAAUAACCAAUUGCCCUAGCAUGACAAAUGUUAAUUUUAUAUUCAACGAUCAACCUGGUGCAACAAUAACAGUUAGAAUAACCAACUGCGCCAAUAUGUCAAACGUUGCAUUUUUUUUCAAUGCUGGACCUGAUUCAUCAAUAACAGCUACACUAACGAAUUGCCCUAACAUGUCACAUGUAACAUUGAUUUUCAAUGCUGCACCUGGUCGCAGAAUAACAGCUUCCAUAAUCAAUCGCCCUAAUUUGUCAGGCGAGACAUUAAUUUACAACUAAAUUUGUCACAAAUAUGUAAAUAUUAAACUCGCAAAAUACCCUUAGUAUAUACUAAGGCAACGCAUAUGUUCGAAGCUGACUUGAAUCCAUCGCGACAAUAUGGAGCCUGCGUAAACAUCAGUACGUACACUCUUAUGUAUGAGAGGCUGCAAAAAUCAUUCAUACGCUUCUUUUUCCGUAAACUCCAUGGGUUCUAUCCAUAUCUGAAAUAUAUAUAAUGUGAAAAUAGUUCUUAAUAGUCAUGUAGUUCUAUAAAAAUAUAAUAUUUGUAUACAAGUGAAAUUGACUACGGAAUUCGUGAAAUUUGUCAAAUGUUUAAUAUAUUACUAAAUAUUAUUACUAUGAAAUAUCGUUUCAUAGCACAUGAACAUUCUAAGCCGUAAAGAGUUUUACUAUUAAAGCAAUCCCAAUAAAAAAAAUAUAUAUGAAAAAUACAUAUAUUUAAUAAGAAAUAAAAUGUAGUAUUUAUAAAUAAUUAAAUGCGAUAAUAAAACCUAAUUAUUACAUCAAUUCAGUAGUAUACAAUAAAAUAGGUUUUAAGAAAAGUAAAUAUUAAAUGAAAGAAAAAAAUAUUAAGUAACAAUAAUAAUAUAAUACCGUGUUUUUUUUUUAUUGCCGUUAAUUUCAAGGGUGCAUCCCUGAGCUUAAAUUAAGUAACUUUCUCAAAGACACCGUUAUUCUACUUAACUCCAUUUCGGAGAUAAGAUCUUACUGAUACCCCGAAGUUAACGGAAUUCAAUAAAAACGCGGUGUAUAAAAGACAAUAUAUAUUUAUAAAAAAUAAAAAUGAUGAAUAAUAAGAAAAAAAUGAAAUGCGUAUAUAAAAUAAAUAUGUAUAAACUUUCCUACAAAUUAACGAAUAGAAAAAAAAAACAAUUUUAUUUAAAAUAGCUUAAAUUAACAUUCAUAGAACAUAUAUGAAUAUAUGAUGAUGAAAAUAAAAAUUAAGUAAAAUAAUUAAAAUUAUGAAAUAAAUGGAAACAAAAUAAAUCAAACAAAAAUGAUUAAAAAAUAAACAAAAACAAAAAAUAUGACAAAAAAAUACCUGUAUUGUUUAAAUAAAAAAUUACUAUAAAAUAAUAAUAAAUAAAACGAAACAUUAUUACCAAAAAAUACAAAAAAAAACAAAAAAAAUAUCUUUAUAAAAAUAACUCAUGUAUACAUACUUUCCUACAAAUUAACAAAGAAAACACAAUAUCUUAUAAAAUAGCUUAAAUUAAUAAUUAAGUAAAAAAAAAAAACAAAAAAAAAAUAAUAAUUAUAAAAAUAAUACAUGUUAUACAAAUUAACAAAGAAAAAUCAAUAUCUUCUAAAAUAGCUUAAAUUUAUGUAAAACAGUGAACACAAUCCACCCUUUGCAAGUACUUAAUCUCUCUCACAACUCUGUCACAAAGGUUUUGACUGAUAAACUGGAAUACAAAGCUUGUAAUAAUAAAAGUUUGCCACGAUUUGAAAGCUUGUUUUAUACUGAUCAAAACAUAAUAUAAUUAGUUUAAAAUUUAGAUCGUGACUUUACUUACUACUUUUUUACUUUGGGAUUUAGGGGAGCGGGGGUAACUGGAGCAGGCGGUUAAUGACAGCUGUGUCAAUAUAAUUGUUAUGUUCGAGGAAAAAAAACCUUAAAACAACAAUUAGUCUACGCAAUAUUAGGCUAUUAAGGCAUAUAAACAACAAACUUCCAAUUUACUUAAAAAUUAUCGCAUCACACGUGGAAUUUAUAACUAAAUUAAGGACUUUGCUGUUAGAAGGCUAUUUUUAUAGUUUUAAUGAAAUAUUUCAAGGAUAUAAACCUAUAAUACAUAUAUCCAUUCUUUUUUAAAUCUAUUUUAAAUAUGGUUUCCGAUUAAGCUACUACUAAUACUUGCGCAAUUUUGCCUUUACAGUUCAACUGGACGAAAUCGAAUGCCACACACGCUCCGUUUUGCCUGUGCAGUUGAUAAAACUGCGCAGGUAUACCCUAGUGUGUAUGGCCAGCUUUAUAUGUAAUUGACAUCGUACAUGCCAUGAAUUUUUGACGUGUUUACAUUUGUAGUGAUGGCUGUAAUUUUUUGUGUAGCUUUUUGACAUUUUAGUGAUGUUUGUAUUUUUUUUAGUGUAUGUUCUUAAUCUAUUGUACUGUAUUGUAUGACUACCUAAUAUAAGCUAGCAUACAAAUAUACUGAAACACUACUGUAUUGUUUAUGAAAUAAAUAUUUGAAUCGAAUUGAAAGAUAUAGACUUCGGGCCUGUUUCACAAUUUCCAAGUAAAGUUCGGAAUAAGCUUAUCUGACGAAUAAAAUCAUCGUUGGUGUUUCACAAUCUUCAUACAAGCGUAACUGGUAGUGCUAUAUUUAUAUAAAGUGCUAAGUUUUGCAGGAAAUAUAUCUGGCAGUUACUUGGACAAUCUGAAACAGGCCCUUACACAAUUAUCGUAUUUAUGCAAACGUCAUUCAGGCUUGCCUCCUAUAAGCAACAUCGUAGUGGCCCGAUAUUAGUUGCAAGAGACGAAUGUUUGGUUUUAUCCCCGCGGUUAUAGGUAAUAAAUAUUAAUUUCAUCAUUGAUGAUGAGCGUUGAAUAUACGUACUGUUUUGUAUUUACACGAAAUAUAUGACUAUGUAUAUUUAACCUUU